RNAcentral lists this ribosomal RNA (236 nucleotides) under uncultured bacterium. Its description in RNAcentral is "partial 16S ribosomal RNA". It matches the Rfam family "Bacterial small subunit ribosomal RNA", at positions 1256 to 1500 of the family's 1533-position model. The record is from RNAcentral.
GGCGACGCAGAGCGGAACCCGAAAACCUAGUCUCAGUUCGGAUUGGAGCUGCAACCCGACUCCAUGAAGCUGGAUUCGCUAGUAAUCGCGCAUCAGCCACGGCGCGGUGAAUACGUUCCCGGGCCUUGUACACACCGCCCGUCAAGCCAUGGAAGCCGGGAGUGCCUGAAGUGCGUGAGCGCAAGCAGCGCCCUAAGGUAAAACCGGUGACUGGGGCUAAGUCGUAACAAGGUACC